CAGCCAUGCCGCGUGUGUGAAGAAGGCCCUCGGGUUGUAAAGCACUUUCAGCGAGGAAGAACGCCUAGCGGUUAAUACCCGCUAGGAAAGACAUCACUCGCAGAAGAAGCACCGGCUAACUCCGUGCCAGCAGCCGCGGUAAUACGGAGGGUGCAAGCGUUAAUCGGAAUUACUGGGCGUAAAGCGCGCGUAGGUGGCUUGAUAAGCCGGUUGUGAAAGCCCCGGGCUCAACCUGGGAACGGCAUCCGGAACUGUCAAGCUAGAGUGCAGGAGAGGAAGGUAGAAUUCCCGGUGUAGCGGUGAAAUGCGUAGAGAUCGGGAGGAAUACCAGUGGCGAAGGCGGCCUUCUGGACUGACACUGACACUGAGGUGCGAAAGCGUGGGUAGCAAACAGGAUUAGAUACCCUGGUAGUCCACGCCGUAAACGAUGUCGACCAGCCGUUGGGUGCCUAGCGCACUUUGUGGCGAAGUUAACGCGAUAAGUCGACCGCCUGGGGAGUACGGCCGCAAGGUUAAAACUCAAAUG
This 526-nucleotide ribosomal RNA is filed under the name Halomonas sp. Its description in RNAcentral is "bacterial SSU rRNA". It matches the Rfam family "Bacterial small subunit ribosomal RNA", at positions 389 to 907 of the family's 1533-position model. The record is from RNAcentral. Lineage: Bacteria; Pseudomonadati; Pseudomonadota; Gammaproteobacteria; Oceanospirillales; Halomonadaceae.